GAUGGGACUUGUAGUCCCAAAGCAGCUGGAGGGCCAAGUUUGGCCAUGCCUGUCAUAGUCCACCUGCAGCAACUCAACCAGACACCUUCAUCUGCCCCAGCUGCAACAAAACAUGUCUCUCCCGUAUCAGUCUCUACAGCCUCUACAUCAGGCACUGCAACCUUCCAACAGUUUGACUUCACCCCAAAGGCUCACUCCUCCAUUGUCUCCUGAGAGAGACGUAUGCCAACAACCCUGAUCUUAGAUAUUUCUGCCAACAUAUAGGGCAUUUCUAAUGCUACAUUCUGCAUAGGAUCCACAUCACUGUUAGGUGUGUUCUUUCCUAAGCACUUAGGUGAAAGCACAACAAGUCUCAGAAAUGAGCUGUUUAUUACCAUGGUAAUCUGAUUUUUAAAUGUGUCCCUUUUUUGAACCAAGGUAAGACUUUAAUUAAAGUACCACACUUCGGAAAUAAAGCAUAUGUUAGCAGUUCCAUGUUAGAAUGCUCUGGUUUGAUGUGUGUUGGCUUUCUUAAUAAGACUUCAAUAGAUCUACUUAGAUUCUUUACUUGGAAUGAACUUGGGAUUUUUUUAAGCCGCUGAAAACCCAGUAACCGGAAUGUUGUGGUUCUUGUUAAACCUAUUCCCAGGAGGUGGGUGGGGGUGUGUCUGGUUAAUGUCCAAUGUAGCAAUUAGUGACGGCUAACUUACGAUGUGGUAAAGGAAGCAAUACAACUAAGAUAACACUAAUAAACUGCACAGCUUGGUGUUCUGCAGAAACUUAUUUUUAAAAUAUAGUGAGAAUAUUUGUGAGUGUAAUCACUUACUGUGAUAUGUAUUUACAUCUCAUGAAAGUAGAUAUUUUUCAUUAAAUGCACAUAAGGCUAAUAAACCUCUGAUUUGUACAGCCAAUCCCAGCAAAGAGGUCUGUUUGGUUCCCCCCUGACCCAACAAAAAGAUGGCUUCAGUGAUAAAAUGCAAAUAUCUGAAUUGUUAACAAAAUAUUUCUUUCGGUGAUGGCUGUCAUGGUGUUGAGGAGUUCUUUAAGAAGCAUUAGACCAUGGAAAUAUGAACACAGACUUCACACUUUUUAACACUUUCUUGUGAGGCAUAUGAGCACAUUGUUGCUCUCUUCACAGAAUGAAUGUGGAAGAUUUGAACUUGCCAGACCUUGUAGAUGACCAGGUUGCAGCUUGGCCAUCCACAAGGGGCUUUGCUAGAUCAUUUACACGAGAGGCACCAGCAAACUCAAGGUAACCCUGAGGCUUAAAGAUACCCAAAAAAUCUGUCUCUGAAACCCCUUUCAGAGGUCAAUGGCACAGAAAGUUGUGAGACUGAGAAGGGGAAAAGGGUAGACAACCUGUUGGAAGGAGAAAUGGAAAGGCUAGAAAGGGAGGGAGAGAAUAUAGGUCUUUCCAUAUUUUAUAUGUCUAUUCCAUGGUCUGAAUAGAUAACUUCCUGUUUAAUGCCGGGAAGCUACUCUUAAAUGUGCCCAGGGACAGAUGUGAGAUAUGUCCAUAAAAAUCAAUGGAAAGAAAACCAAAAAUUUUAAGAUAAUUCAGGUUGGGUAUAAGCAUGUCUUCUUCUGAAAACCUGCUAAUGGAGAAAAAUGCCCUCAACCAAAUGAUAGUGCGAACUGAAUGUGUUCAGGAUUCUGCCUAUUGGGACUGACUAAACAAGGGACAAGGGGAAUAGAAUGGAGUGGUCGAAACUCUGAAAAGACGUACUCCACACAGCAACAGUUAUGUUGCAGGGGUCCACUUACGUAUUACGUAACUAAGGUUCAUAGAAUGACUUGAAUAAGGUGGGCUUCCUAUCUAUACCUCAGUGUAGGGGCCUUGUUGAGAGCUCAAAGGGCCCAAAGCUCUGGUCUCUCUUCUGGCCCCUGAAUCUUCCUGCCCCUUCCUCCUCACUCUGUUUACCUACCUACCUACCUACCUAUGCCAGAGGCAUCCCCACUGGUGAUAGCUCACCAGUGAUAGCCCUGAAAUGAGGCAUUUGUGAAGCAGGAAGGAGGCAGGACAGGGCUGGCACAGGAUCCACUUGAUCCUGUGCAGACCCUGCUACCAUCACGUGACAUCAAUGGGCCCAAUCCAGGCCUCUUUGCUGUAUUAACCUUGGGUGCUGCAAAGCAGCUUUUUCAAAGGCUGUGCAUGGGAACCAAUUCAGUCAGCCUUGGAUUUUGACCACAUUGAGUUGCAGAAAUGCUGGAUAGGUCAUGUCGACCCACGUAGAGUGAUUUAGAGCUGUCAAAAGAUGGGGCAAUCGGGCAGUGGAGGGGAGGGAGAAGAAGAGGCUGGCAGCAACCUAUUUGGUGGAAAGUAGCAUAACAGUUUCACCCUACCCGGUGAGCAACUUCUGUAUAAAACUGCUAAAGCCAAAUUACUGUUGCAAUUUAUGUUUGUAGCCCCUGAACCCAGUUAUAAAAAAGAUUAGUAUAACUGGUUCAAACAUACGUGCUACUUAUUAAUAGCUUUUAAUUUUAGCUCCUCUAAUGCAGCUUUUCCUUAUUUUUGUAGCCCUGUGAAUUGAUUUUGAAUAAAGCUCAAGCAUUAAAUACAUUACCUUACAAUUUCCGCUCCCAGAAAAAGCAAAAGAAUUAGUACAGUGGAUUCCCACCUGCCCUUUCCACAGAAGAAAAAAGCUUUUAAGCAACAUCUUUUUAAAGGCCUGAAAAUAAUUCACAGGCUUAAAAAGCUUGCUUAGCAUGGUGUCUUUGCAUUACUACUCCACAAGCAGAGUGAUUUUAAAAAGCAAAACAAGAAUAGCAUUUUGGAAACCCCUCCCCAGUUUUGGCAAUAUGCUGGUGGAAAUGGGAAAUGAAAACAAAUCAGGCUUAUUCAAAUGCUUUUAAGUUAUUACUGAUAUUAUUUGAAGUACUUUUUGCCACAUUGUGGUACUUUUUGUGGUACAACUGUGCUGCUUUUGCCACAGUUUUAAGUCUGUGGUAUUUAUCUUUCUUUUAAGUAUAACGGACUUGGUUUAAUCCAAAUUGUCCAUUGCCCAUGUUCGUCUUGGAUGACCAGGACAGUGUGCAGUCUUUGUUGUUGCCCAAACUCAGAGUCCCUUGCUUACGGUAAGGAUGAUAACUUCCUAAAGAUCUCAAAUGAAAGGAAGUUACAAAACAAAGCCAUGUCAAGUAGGCACAUGCCCUACUGCUAAGCACUCAAUCCAAGCCUAUCGAAACAUGUUGAAAGACAAGUCUCACAACAACAGCCAGGCAGCUCCCCCCUCCCUACAGAUAACUAGUGUGAAAACAACAGAUGAAUGUGCAUGUUCACACUUGAAGAAAAGGAAACUGAAGUUACAAAAGUCACCGAAGAACAUGAGAUGAAAUCAUCCCACUGCUAAUAUGUUGUUUUGUAGGCCCUCUCAACAUGUUUGCAGGUUGCUACUUGCACCUCACUGCAGUACAAGGAAUUGAGCUAAAGAAGCAUUUGUUUCGAGGCUGCCAAGAAUAACAAGCUUCCAAGGAAGAUGUGAUGUAGAAAGAGAUCCCUUUGUUCUCUCAUAUGGUGAGACUACGGUAGAGCUAAGUUGAAAAAAGGACAUUUCCAAGUACGGUAGUUCUACGGGAAUGCAAAUUCUGUGCAGGCCUCAUUCCUCCUGUAGGUCUGACUUGCAAGCAGAACUUUCUGGGUCAUCGGAGAAAAUGUUGUAAGGCAAUGAUAGGCACAAGACAUAAGUGCCCUUUUCUGCCUUCAAAAGAAUGCAUGCGAGCAUCAAAUGUGAAGGGGGAGCAAGUGUUACGCUCUCACCCACAACAUGACCAGGACUGUAUUCACACGACAGUUCAUUCCAGUGCUGUUUUUCUAGAAUGCCUCCCUCGUUCUCUUAGAAUGGCAAUGGUGUCUACCUAAGAGGCUGCUGAAAAAAAGCCCUGGUUCAUUCUAUUUUCCAGCCAUUUCUCUAGCUGUUAAUUUCUGCAUUAUUUUUAAGCUUUCACACAGCAUAAAAGCCAUUUCAAGGAAUAUAGUGCAAGUUUAACACUCAUUUCCAUGUCGUUUGCUUCCAGGAGAAAAAUAUGUAAAUAACAGUUAGGGAAACAUCAGGAAAACAACACACACUACUGUGUGAAUGCAGCCUAGCACUAGAGAUGGAGGAGAAAUUCAAUUUUGUAUGCAUGUCAAUGAAAAACUAUAUAAUGUGCACUUCUCAAACCAAUACAUGAAGUGAAAUAGAGGCAUCUCUUUAUUUGCACGAAGGUUGAGUUCUAGGUCAUUGUGAGCAUCGGCAGAGCACAUGUAAGCCUGCCCCAUUCCACCCCUGCCCCCCUUCGGGUCAAAAAUGGUACACACGUUGGUGGUCAUGUGCCAAUCUAGCAUGCACAAAUAGCCUGUACAGCUAUCCUUCAAAAGUCACACUUCUCCAAAUUUUGCAAUUCAGUUCUUUAACAGAACAAUAUGUACAGAGCGUGCAUAAACAGGCAUCUAUUGGUGAAGAUAAUGCAUUCCUGCACACUAUGUUGGGGAAUUGCUUGCAAACAUAUGUAUAUUAGGAGAAAUUGGGACUAAAAUGUUGGUGAAUUUUCAUGAGGAUUUUUUUUAAAAAAAGAAAUUGCAAACUGAUGGGAAAAUAUACAGCACUGAA
Podarcis lilfordi (Lilford's wall lizard) is the source of this 4568-nucleotide non-coding RNA. NCBI's taxonomy places the organism in Eukaryota, Metazoa, Chordata, Lepidosauria, Squamata, Lacertidae. The record is from the annotation of a GenBank genome assembly.